RNAcentral lists this unclassified non-coding RNA (3447 nucleotides) under Limulus polyphemus (Atlantic horseshoe crab). Its description in RNAcentral is "nephrocystin-4-like, transcript variant X2". Lineage: Eukaryota; Metazoa; Arthropoda; Merostomata; Xiphosura; Limulidae. The record is from RNAcentral.
UUUUUAAACAUAUAGGUUACCACUGUAUUAUGGAACUCCGAGAGUAUUACUUUUUACUAAACAACCUAUUGAAAGACACCCUCAGUUGCAGAAAGUUCUAGGAUUAGAGAUACUUUACACAGUUUCAACUCAUAGAGCUUUACUGAAAGUUGCCCAUCUCAUACCAGAAAAUGUUCUGCUUGGUGGUAAUGAGCUUGUGCCUGGAUUAAUGGAAGGACCAGAAGACCAAGUGACUGGAAUUAAGGAUCACUUCAGAAAACCUAAACUGUGGAAGGUGACAUCAUUUCAACUAGAUAAAGUCACUUUAAAGAUACAACCAACAGUGGCCAACUUUGAAGAAUACCUUUUGCACAGUUUGGAACAGGAAAAAAAAGAUCAUUCUGCUAUAGGGGUUAAAUUUACAGUAGUUGAAAGAAGAGUGCAGAUAGGAGUUCACAAUGGAUGGUGCUUUGUUACUCGUCCUGAUGUCCAGCAACUUCUUCCAGAACGACUUGCUCGCCGUAGCAGUUUGACAAAUAUAUCUAAUAUAAAAACUCAUCGUCGAACUGCCAGUACAGGUUCUAAUGUUGGCUCAACAGAUUCAGUUUUGAUGCUGAGGAACAAGAUAAAAAUGAUUGAUGUUCCAAAUGAUCCUCAGAUUGCUCUUGUCUUCAUUAUCGAAUUUGGAGUUUCCUGUGAACAGGGUAUGAAGGAAAGAAGGGCAAGCACUGUAUUAGGGAAAGUUCAUGGGCCUGUUUCUACUGUAACUGUUUUUUGGGGUUUCUGGUGCCCAUGGUUACAAUGUCCUAGUGGUCAGACAGAAGUGUGCAUCCAAAUGAUUGGUGGACCAAGCCGAUGCCCAAACAAUUCUUUAGUCUUUUGUGGAAAACAACUAGUGGAUUGUGAUGGAGGGCAAGGAAGCCUUUCUUUUACAUUUACUCCUGGUCGGAAGAGAGAGAACUCAUUACGACCAGUUAAACAGCACUCAGCUGCAUCAGAGACCAGCCAGCUCUCGGUCAACAGACAAGUUGGAGUAGACAAUAAGUCACAAGCUGUGAUAGCUGAUAACACUGUUUUCCACCACCAAAGAAGCUCUUCUGUGUCUCCUAUAAAGAAAGUUCAUGAAUCAAAACCAAAAGAACAGUUUUUCAGAAGGAAAGAUCACAUCUCUUUUGUAAAGGACCAAAAUGAAAAUACUGUCGAUACAUCUCAGGAGCUGGAGGAGGUCCACCAUGGAACUGGUCCUCAUGUACCUCUUCUGCCUGUGUUCUCCCAUAAUGUGUCUAGGGGUCAGCACCUGUCCAGAGUAGCAUAUGGUCGAUUAUAUUCAGCUGGGUUUCCCGUAAUCCGAGAUCGUCAUGGACGCACACCAAAUGUGCUAAAUCCUGUGGAACCAGUUUCAGUAAACCUUAAAAAAGAAGAAGUGGACAUUUUGAGAUGUAACGAGAUCAUUUUCCAGUUCCUAGCUUAUUCUAAUUGUGCCAGAAAAGCUCUUCAUACGAUAUUCUUUACAUUCCAAUUUUACCGUUUCCCACCAACAAAAACAGAAAGGCUUUUGCUGGAACAACAUGAGCCACUAAAAAGCACAGAGUCGACAUCUCUUCCAUAUAUUCUUUUUCCCAUGCAGUCACCAGGAGUAAAGAGGGAAGGACCACCUGGGUAUGAGAUUCGUUAUGAAGUUGAUCCAGCCUAUCUCAGUAGAGGAGAAGAUAAAGCUUUUUUGAAAUACUUAGCUUAUCAUCAUCUCCAUAUUGACGUUUGGGACGGCGAGUCAUUGCUUUACAUUGGGUCAUCAGAUGUUGAUUUGAAGUUUCUGUUUCGGAAUGGACAAGAGUCAAUUCAGACGACACUGGAACUUGAUAUUUUAUACUGUGAGUAUUUAGACAUACCAUCAGAUAGAACCAUAGGUCAACCAAAGCUAAGAGGUCAUCUCCACCUUCGUUUAGCUAACAUUGGGUCACCACUUUCAGGAGAUUCAAUGAGAAGAAUUGAACAGAGAGAAAAGUACACCAACAACCUUCCAGUACUUCUGUCCUCUAAUAAAAAGUUUACAGUGAACAAGCCAGAGUGUCACCAGGUUUCCAGAGCUCGGCUUUUAGUGGAAACAGAUCGUGAACUAGCAUCAAUUAUCUCAGCAAGAGGUAGAGACCAUCAGAAACCGUAUGGUGAAACUUUAUCAUCAGAACGGAGACGAAAAUUAGCUCGUAUGGAAGCAGUAAGAUCUCAAAGUAAUAACAAUCAGGAGCUGAACCUGCUUACUAAGGAAAACCUGCAUGUGCUUAGAGAAAGACAGAGAGACCUUCGAACUUUACAGGUAUACAGAGAGCAUCACAAGCAUGAAGAAAUCCUUAACCUGUUACAGAAAACAAUAACAACAGAAGCUACAAUACAUCCUACACUUGGUGCUGUAGAAUUCUUUGAAUUUGAGCUGACAAAUCCAUAUACAACAGAUUGUAAUAUCUUCAUAGAAAUAGAUAAUCCAUACUUAAAUAUUGUAUUCAAAAGCAGUGAAUGGCAACACCUGCGACACUUAUGGCAUAUAAGUGGUGUUGUUGAAGAAAAUUUCUUAACAGCAUCUGAUCAGGAAAGAAAAUAUCCAAAUCUAGUCUUAAAAUCUAAAGAAACAGUGCGUAUACCAUUCAAAUACCAACUUUGGAACAUUGGAGAAGAAUCAGUUGAUAGCUGGGAAGCAGCUACUGGUCAUUAUUUUCGGUCAGAAGAUCUAACCAACCUACAAAGUUCAACAUAUUUUUGCUCUUCUACUGCUAAGGUCCAUUUCGUUACUGAACACCAGAAAACUUUAGCAAUCCUCAGCCUUCACAUUCAGCACUUACCUCCAUUGGUCCAACAGACAAUGAGGUUUCUACCACCUGAGAAUUCUUUUCUUAAACAGUGGAUUCGUGUACCAGCUGGACUGAUAAAAGAAGAAAAACUUGGCAUGAUAGCAAGAAGCUCAGAUGUAGACAUCAUCUGUAGCAUCCAGCACUUGGAUGGAAAUUGUGAUGUUUAUGUGAAGGCUUCAUGUGGUAAUUCCGGCUCUAAGAAAAAGUUCUACAUCUUUGUCUACAGUGACUCCUAUAUAUUUCAACCUGUACAAACAUGGGAGGUAUGGGUUCAUCCUCAGAGAAGAGUAGAUCUGUCAUGUGUUAUCGGCCAGUCGAUGCACACAUCACUGAUUAUCAGUUGAUGAUGAAACUACAACCAGAACCAACAAAAAUUCAUGGAGCCAGAACCAGAAGAAUGUGACUAUUCUCCACAACAUCUCACUCUCUAAAGACUGUAUCUUCAUUCUUUCAAAGGGUCCAAAUGUUGCUGUUUCUAGACAACUAACGUAAAUCUUGAGGUACUCAGUCAACUCGGCUGGUUAAGUGUUUUACUUCUCACCCUGAAGAAGUGCAGUUUUAUCCUUCUGAACCAUUUGUUCUUGCUGCUGGGACUGUUCAUGAACUUCAGCUGGUUGUUAGGCCA